RNAcentral lists this ribosomal RNA (226 nucleotides) under uncultured bacterium. Its description in RNAcentral is "partial 16S ribosomal RNA". It matches the Rfam family "Bacterial small subunit ribosomal RNA", at positions 15 to 219 of the family's 1533-position model. The record is from RNAcentral.
GAUCCUGGCUCAGGAUGAACGCUGGCGGCGUGCUUAACACAUGCAAGUCGAGCGAAGCACUUUACUUGGAUUUCUUCGGAAUGACGAGUAUUGUGACUGAGCGGCGGACGGGUGAGUAACGCGUGGGUAACCUGCCUCAUACAGGGGGAUAACAGUUAGAAAUGACUGCUAAUACCGCAUAAGACCACAGCACCGCAUGGGUGCAGAGGUAAAAAACUCCGGUGGU